This 301-nucleotide ribosomal RNA is filed under the name uncultured bacterium. Its description in RNAcentral is "partial 16S ribosomal RNA". It matches the Rfam family "Bacterial small subunit ribosomal RNA", at positions 509 to 807 of the family's 1533-position model. The record is from RNAcentral.
CAGUCGCCGCGGUAAUACGAAGGGUGCAAGCGUUAAUCGGAAUUACUGGGCGUAAAGGGUGCGUAGGCGGUUGUUUAAGUCUGUUGUGAAAUCCCCGGGCUCAACCUGGGAAUGGCAAUGGAAACUGGACGGCUAGAGUGUGUCAGAGGAUGGUGGAAUUUCCGGUGUAGCAGUGAAAUGCGUAGAGAUCGGAAGGAACAUCUGGGGCGAAGGCGGCCCCCUGGACAAAGACUGACGCUCAGGUGCGAAAGCGUGGGGAGCAAACGGGAUUAGAUACCCGUGUAGUCCCUGUCUCUUAUAC